RNAcentral lists this long non-coding RNA (1844 nucleotides) under Bemisia tabaci. RNAcentral's name for it is "lncRNA ENSSSA3NGG013309". The record is from RNAcentral. Lineage: Eukaryota; Metazoa; Arthropoda; Insecta; Hemiptera; Aleyrodidae.
UCACAUGUACAAAUGUCGAAAUUAAAAAGGAGUCGCUCUCAAAAGGCUACUAACCCGGUUUCCCCUUCAAAACACCAUUGACAGAUACUUUUCCCCUUCGCCGAAAAUAUCGCAGUGAAUAGUUUGAAUUCACCUUUAGAGGAUCUCACUCUCAGCAGUCCCCAAAAAAAGCGUUCCAAACUAACCGGAUCAGUUGAUGCUUCUCCUAGACUUCCACCGUUCCAUUUUUCAUGCCCAAAUGUGAAUAAAAACCAGUCAUCACCUACCAAAAGAAAGCCAUCAACGCCUACAAACUACUCCAAGAAGUUAUCCCCAAAAAAAUCUGUCAGAGCUCUUUUUCCAACUUCAAAAAGAAAAGAGACGAUGUGGAUGACAGUAGCUCCUCGGCGAGAAGUUUGAAAAUCGACUUGAAUGCCAACGAAGCGAAUGUUUCACCGAUGAAAGUAGAUUGCCGCACCAGUCCCAGGAAAAAAGCAGGUACUCUCAGCACGGAAAAAUUUUUUAUGAAGACUGAUGAUGUUCAUCGGGAUGAGCACUCAUCCGAGUCUGAAGAAGAGGUGGAAUUCAAAGGAGAAAAUGCAUCACCAACUAUCAAGUUAAUGGCCACGAAUUCUUGCAGUCAUGCUGUUUCUGAAGCAGUCUCACCAACUCCUACACAAGAAGGGUUAAACUUCUUUAGAGAUGUGGCAUCUUUCAUUUGUAAGAAAUACCACAAUCUGGAGCGACGUUUAAAUUUGAGCUUCCCUAUCUGUGAGAACAAAGAGCUCACUGAAAGAGAACGUGAGAGUGCAGCAGUUGCUGAGUCACUCAUGGCUGUCAUCCAGGUCGACAGUUUUUCUGACGCAGGGAUCGAUCUGACAGGAAACUUCUUAUCUGAAAGAAAAUACCUAAGUUGGCAGCUAUUGCGCCACAUCGUGUAUUUCACAAUGAAUUAUUGCAAUGAUGAAGACUGGAUGAAAUGUUUAAAGAUAUGCUUCAAUCAAUUAGCGCUUCACCCUCCUGUUUCAUGUAACAUGCGUCAAUAUUAUUCAUUAUUACUGGAUCAUGAAGAAGAAAUGAAUUUUUCUAAAAAAACUCAAAAAGGUCUUCUGACCUAUGUAAUGGAAGAACUGUCUGAGAAGUACAAGUACACCUCUCCAGCAAACUGUAAACGAGCAAGAAAGAAAAACCCCAAAUACUCAGAUUAUUCAGAAAUGGAUGAGGAGGUUGAAGAUGAGGAGAAAGGAAAAGGAAAGAAAGGAGCAGUAACACCACAGAAAGGAAAGAAGAAUGAGAAAAAAAUAGUUUCAUGGCUUUCAACUGAUGAUGAUGAAAUCGAUAAUAGUGAAAUCAAUGAGACACUUCAGAAUGCCAUUGAUGAUGUUGGGAGAAAGCAACAAAAGAUUCUUGGCCGUGUAAUCCUAGAAGAAAGGCAGUUGCAAUUGUUUGAUUUUGUGAUAAGAAUUUUACAAGUUGAUUUUCUGGAAUGGAGCAAAAAAUGGGGUCUCAAUUGCCGAGAAAAACUGGUUUCUACACAUGAAUCACCUCUAGUUGCGACGUUGAUGUGGGAUAGAAAGUUGGGAUUCAGUGCAAUUUCACCUCGCAUCAAAGAAGUCUUCCAUUUUUAUGUUAAUUCUGAACCGCAGCAUCGAACAUAUUAUGAAAGAUUUAUCACUUUAAUGGUAGAGGUGAUGAGGAUCUUUGAAGGUGAGGUCACCAAACUAGAUGGGGCAUUAUUUAUGAAUUUCCCGCAUAAAGGUGAAAUGCUAGGUGAAAAGUGCAGGAGCUUUGCUGAUGAAUUUUUCUUCAUUGUUUCGGUUCUCCGACCCACAUGUCUGCAACGGAAGUCCACAAUAUCAAUUUGA